UACGUAGGGUGCAAGCGUUAAUCGGAAUUACUGGGCGUAAAGCGUGCGCAGGCGGUUUUGUGAGUCUGUCGUGAAAGCCCCGGGCUCAACCUGGGAAUUGCGAUGGAGACUGCAAGGCUUGAAUCUGGCAGAGGGGGGUAGAAUUCCACGUGUAGCAGUGAAAUGCGUAGAGAUGUGGAGGAACACCGAUGGCGAAGGCAGCCCCCUGGGUCAAGAUUGACGCUCAUGCACGAAAGCGUGGGGAGCGAACAGG
RNAcentral lists this ribosomal RNA (253 nucleotides) under uncultured bacterium. RNAcentral describes it as "partial 16S ribosomal RNA". It matches the Rfam family "Bacterial small subunit ribosomal RNA", at positions 524 to 776 of the family's 1533-position model. The record is from RNAcentral.